This is an RNA transcript of Ricinus communis (castor bean), 1305 nucleotides long. RefSeq lists it as uncharacterized. The transcript is spliced from 7 exons. NCBI's taxonomy places the organism in Eukaryota, Viridiplantae, Streptophyta, Magnoliopsida, Malpighiales, Euphorbiaceae. The record is from RefSeq and is a predicted model, not a curated record.
AUGGAGGAUCUCCAAAUAUUGUUCCCAGAAGCCUUACAGGGCAUAUCUGUUUCAAAAAUGAAAGAAAGUACUAUAGAUAAGAAAGUGGUAUUUCUCUUUGAGGCAUUAAAAUCUAUAAGAGAUUCAUGGAGUAUGAGUCAGAAGUGGCUGGCCAAAUACGGAUACGAUAAGAUUAGUAAAAUAGACAGCAUUGAUAAGGAGCAAGUAGUUGAUAUAGUCUUUGCAACACUUGACUGUGUGAUUAAGGCAGCAGCAGAACUGUUUGAUAUGCUGGAAGGGGAAGUAUUGAACAAAGAUUUGCACCAAGAAGCUAGUAUAUUGACAGAGGCCUAUCCUGGAAAAAAGCUCCCGGCCCCCCUCUGCCACCUCCACCUGGUGCUAAACUCCUAACUCAGAGAAAAAACAGUACUAAUUGAAGAAAUCCAUUCAGAUGCUGAACCAGUUUCGGAAGCUAAAGGACAAGAUAGAAGGACCUAACCUGCCUGUUAAAUUGGUCAAUAUGAGAAAGAUGCAGCUUGGAGGUUCUAGCAAUGGAAAGGAAGGAUUGGCUGCCUCAUUAGCAGAAUUGACAAAGAGAUUGCCAUACUUCCUACAAAUUGAAGAAGAUGUUCAGAAGUAUGAAAACCCAAUCCUAAAUUUGAUAAUAGCCAUCAAUUCCUUUCAAACAAAUGACAUGGUAAAGCUGCUCAAUUUUCGAAACAAUUUUGAAGCUGUCCUUGGAGUCUUAACUGAUGAAUCACAGGUGCUAGCAAAGUUUGAAGGUUUUCCCACAAAGAAGCUGAAAACAUUAAGGACAGCAGCUACACUGUACUUUAAAUUAGACAGAUAUUCAGCACCUUGAGGACAUGGGAGAUAGUGCCUCCCUCAUUAAAGUUUUUAGACAAGGUUGAUUGUUAUUUCAGAAAGGUCAAACUGGAACUGGAAGCGGUUGAAUGACAUAAGGAUGAAGAAGCCAAAAAGUUCAAGAGCUACGGCAUUGAUUUUGACUUCCUUAUCAUUACAAGGAUAAAGUAAUCAAUGGUAGAUCUUUCCUCUGGUUGUAUAGAGGUAGCACUAAAGGAGAGGAGAGAAGCAAACAGAGCAAAAGGGGAUGAAGAAUUUGGUAAAAUCAAUCAAAAAAUGAAAGAAAGUGUUAAAAUGCUAUGGAGAGUGUUUCAGUUGGCAUUUCAGGUCUAUAGCUUUGCUGGUGGACCAGAUGAUUGCGCUGAAAAUUAGCCAAAUUACAAAACCAUUAUACAUUAUGAUGGAAAAAUGCGUAGAAUAUCCAGAAACUUACCAAAAGUCGAAGAGAUUCUUUGAAAGACA